Molecule: ribosomal RNA, 2087 nt
Filed under: metagenome
Description: bacterial LSU rRNA
Rfam family: Bacterial large subunit ribosomal RNA
Source: RNAcentral
GGAGAAAUUCCAAUCGAACACGGAGAUAGCUGGUUCUCCCCGAAAUAGCUUUAGGGCUAGCGUCGAGGUAGAGUCGCAUGGAGGUAGAGCACUGAAUGUACGAUGGCCCCAUCCCGGGGUACUGAGUAUAAUCAAACUCCGAAUGCCAUGCAGACGUACUCGGCAGUCAGACUGUGGGUGAUAAGGUCCAUGGUCAAAAGGGAAACAGCCCAGACCGCCAGUUAAGGUCCCAAAAUGUAUGCUAAGUGGAAAAGGAUGUGGAGAUGCACAGACAACUAGGAGGUUGGCUCAGAAGCAGCCAUCCUUUAAAGAGUGCGUAACAGCUCACUAGUCGAAUGACUCUGCGCCGAUAAUUUACCGGGGCUAAGCAUACUACCGAAGCUAUGGAUCCCAAGGGAUGGUAGGGGAGCGUUCCAUGAACGGAGAAGUACGACCGAAAGGACGUGUGGAGAUCAUGGAAGAGAGAAUGCCGGUGUGAGUAGCGGAACGUGGGUGAGAAUCCCACGCACCGAAAACCCAAGGUUUCCAGAGGAAGGUUCGUCCGCUCUGGGUAAGUCGGGACCUAAGGCGAGGCCGAAAGGCGUAGUCGAUGGACAACAGGUAGAGAUUCCUGUACCCGUAUAUAUGUGAAGGAAUGACGGAGAGAGGAAGCUGCAGCCAGCGGCUGGAAGAGCUGGUGCAAGCGAGAUAUCGGGAUGGCAGGCAAAUCCACCAUCCGAAACGAGAAGGCGUGAAGCGUACGGAAAGCUACGGCGAGUACGGAAGGCAGUGGAGGAACUUCCAAGAAAAGUUUCUAACGUUAAGUAUAUAUGGCCCGUACCGAAAAUGGACACACAUGGGUGAGGAGAGAAUCCUGAGGUGAGCGAGAGAACUGUUGCCAAGGAACUCGGCAAAAUGACCCCGUAACUUAGGGAGAAGGAGUGCUCAUAGAGAUAUGAGCCGCAGUGAAACGGCCCAAGCGACUGUUUACCAAAAACACAGCUCUCUGCUAAGCCGCAAGGCGAAGUAUAGGGGGUGACGCCUGCCCGGUGCUGGAAGGUUAAGGGGAGGGGUUAACGCAAGUGAAGCCCUGAACUGAAGCCCCAGUAAACGGCGGCCGUAACUAUAACGGUCCUAAGGUAGCGAAAUUCCUUGUCAGGUAAGUUCUGACCCGCACGAAAGGCGUAACGAUUUGGGCGCUGUCUCAGCUGUAGACUCGGUGAAGUCUUAGUACCUGUGAAGAUGCAGGUUACCCGCGACUAGACGGAAAGACCCCAUGGAGCUUCACUGCAGGUUGAUAUUGGGAUUUGAUGCAGCAUGUACAGGAUAGGUAGGAGGCAAAGAGAUGGAUACGCCAGUAUUCAAGGAGCCGCUGUUGGGAUACUACCCCUGUUGUAUUGGAUUUCUAACCGGACGACGUAGAGCCGUUGACGGGACAGUGUCAGUCGGGCAGUUUGACUGGGGCGGUCGCCUCCCAAAGAGUAACGGAGGCGCCCAAAGAUACCCUCAGCUUGGAUGGAAACCAAGCGCAGAGUGCAAAGGCAAAAGGGUGUUUGACUGCGAGACCUACAAGUCGAGCAGGGACGAAAGUCGGGCUUAGUGAUCCGGCGGUGCUGAAUGGAAAGGCCGUCGCUCAACGGAUAAAAGCUACCCUGGGGAUAACAGGCUGAUCUCCCCCAAGAGUUCACAUCGACGGGGAGGUUUGGCACCUCGAUGUCGGCUCAUCGCAUCCUGGAGCUGAAGUCGGUUCCAAGGGUUGGGCUGUUCGCCCAUUAAAGCGGUACGCGAGCUGGGUUCAGAACGUCGUGAGACAGUUCGGUCCCUAUCUGUUGUGGGCGUAGGAAAUUUGAGGAGAUCUGUCCUUAGUACGAGAGGACCGGGAUGGACCUACCGCUGGUGCACCAGUUGUAUCGCCAGAUGCAUAGCUGGGUAGCUAAGUAGGGAACGGAUAAGCGCUGAAGGCAUCUAAGCACGAAACCGACUCCAAGAUGAGAUUUCCCAUACGCAAGUAGUAAGACCCCUUGAAGACGACAAGGUAGAUAGGUCAGAGAUGGAAGUGUAGAAAUACAUGGAGUUGACUGAUACUAAUGGUACGAGGACUUAAUCAC